This 155-nucleotide ribosomal RNA is filed under the name Boodlea composita. RNAcentral describes it as "5.8S ribosomal RNA". It matches the Rfam family "5.8S ribosomal RNA". From Rfam's summary of the family: 5.8S ribosomal RNA (5.8S rRNA) is a component of the large subunit of the eukaryotic ribosome. RNAcentral also lists the same sequence under 5 other names. The record is from RNAcentral. Lineage: Eukaryota; Viridiplantae; Chlorophyta; Ulvophyceae; Cladophorales; Boodleaceae.
ACACUGUACAAUGGAUUUCUCGGCUCCCACAUCGAUGAAGAACGCAGCAAAGCGCGAUAGGUAGUGUGAAUUGCAGAAUACCGUGAAUCAUCGAAUUUUUGAACGCAUAUUGCGCCCGGGUUUGAGCCUGGGCAUGUCUGCCUCAGCGUCGAUUU